CGAGUGAUUCGUGAUGUGUUGGAAUGAAUUUCGGAGAUAAAUAAGUGUUUCGGCGCAAAUUGGACGCGAAACGAAAUGUAAAAAGAAUUUUCGGAUUUCCGACGCUAACUUUGAUUAAAAGAAUUAAAGUAAGGCGUAAGGAUAAAUUGUGGAAUCUCCGAAUCAAUUGUGAAGUUUCGGAAAAGCCAAGGGUGUGUUUUCAAAGGGUUUUGAAGUGUUCAUUGCGAAGUGGUAGUGCAAAAAGGAGAAAUUUCUGCCGUGUAAUGAAAUUGGAGCCGAUU
This 281-nucleotide long non-coding RNA is filed under the name Ananas comosus (pineapple). Its description in RNAcentral is "long non-coding RNA (ACOM_LNC039780)". The record is from RNAcentral. Lineage: Eukaryota; Viridiplantae; Streptophyta; Magnoliopsida; Poales; Bromeliaceae.